This 497-nucleotide ribosomal RNA is filed under the name uncultured bacterium. RNAcentral describes it as "partial 16S ribosomal RNA". It matches the Rfam family "Bacterial small subunit ribosomal RNA", at positions 28 to 507 of the family's 1533-position model. The record is from RNAcentral.
GAUGAACGCUGGCGGCGUGCCUUAUACAUGCAAGUCGAGCGAAAAGACGAGUAGCUUUCCUCUCUGACGUUAGCGGCGGACGUGUGAGUAACACGCGUAUCACCUACCUAUAAGAAUCGGAUAACUUCGUUAACUCGUAGCUCAUACCGGCUACUAUAUUGAACAGCAUGCCUCAAUACUUAACGCCGGCUUUGCUGCCGCUUAUAGAUGGAUCCGCGCCGGAUUAGCUAGUUGGUCAGGUAACGGCUUACCAAGGCGACGAUGCGUAGCCGGCCUGAGAGGGUGACCAGCCACACUGGAACUGAGACACGGUCCAGACUCCUACGGGAGGCAGCAGUAGGGAAUCUUCGGCAAUGGGCGAAAGCCUGACGGAGCAACGCCGCGUGAGUGAUGAAGGUCUUCGGAUCGUAAAACGCUGUUAUUAGGGAAGAACAAAUGUGUAAGUAACUAGGCACGUCUUGACGGUACCUAAACAGAAAGCCACGGCUAACUACGUG